UACGUAGGGUGCAAGCGUUAAUCGGAAUUACUGGGCGUAAAGCGUGCGCAGGCGGUUUUGUAAGUCUGAUGUGAAAUCCCCGGGCUCAACCUGGGAAUUGCAUUGGAGACUGCGAGGCUAGAAUCUGGCAGAGGGGGGUAGAAUUCCACGUGUAGCAGUGAAAUGCGUAGAGAUGUGGAGGAACACCGAUGGCGAAGGCAGCCCCCUGGGUCAAGAUUGACGCUCAUGCACGAAAGCGUGGGGAGCAAACAGG
This 253-nucleotide ribosomal RNA is filed under the name uncultured bacterium. RNAcentral describes it as "partial 16S ribosomal RNA". It matches the Rfam family "Bacterial small subunit ribosomal RNA", at positions 524 to 776 of the family's 1533-position model. The record is from RNAcentral.